CCUCCUGGUUCUGCUGGUCAGAGCUCGGCUGACCAACAUGGCUGAAGGACACGACGAGGCCUCCCUCUCCUCCCCCCAUGCCCCUCCCCCCCUCAGCCGCCGUGGACUCUCACGGUGCCGGAGAAGGCCUCUGAAGGCCUCCGGGUCCAGCGGUCGUCCUCCGGCUUCUACGAGGAGCUCUUCUGGAGCCUCCAGGCUCCCGUCCCCCUGGCUGGCGCCUUCGUGUCCUCCGGGCCGCACAGCGACGUGGUGAAGCAGGGCUACCUGGGGAAGCUGGAGAGGAACCGCAGGAGGUACUUUGUUCUGAGAGCGGGGAGUCACACCGGGCCGAGCCGACUGGAGUGGUACAGGAACCGGGAAAAGUUCACAGCGGCGGAGAAAUCUGCUGGGAGGACGGCGCCGUUCGGAAGCAGCAAAGCAGGGUUUGUGGAGGUCACAGCCGCCCGGUCCACGCCGACCCCCCCGUGAACGUCUCUGCUCUACCCUCCCAGAACCCUCUACCUGCGCUGCUGCCUCGGCGUCAGCCGGAUCGGGGACUCCCGCAGGGGCCACACGCUGGAGCUGUACGCCAAGGACCGCACCCUGGUGCUGCUGGCGGAGGACCGGCAGCAGAACCAGGACUGGUACGUGGCCGUCAAGACGCUGAUGGAGGAGGAGCGAGAGAGACGAGGAGCAGGGAGGAGGCGCUGAUGAAGACGAUGACGGGUACUGCACCCUCCCCCCCGGAGCCUUCUUCAAAGAGGUGGAGCGUCUUCUGUCUCACCCGUCUGCAGGUUGCGUUCAGGCGCUCCUCCGUGAAGGUUCAUGACCUUUGACCUCCUCCUCGCCGCAGGUGUGGCCCGUCACGGUGAAGCCUCGCGGUCUGGGCAGCUCCAAACCGCUCACCGGGGAGAACCGGCUCUGCCUCACCGCCACCUCCCUCGUCUUGGUCCGCCUCGGAGCCGGUGCGGAGCUGCCGUCCGUCAGCAUCCCUCUGCUGAGCGUGCGACGGUUCGGACACCUGGACGGCCUGUUCUACCUGGAGCUGGGCCGGUCGGCGCCCGGCGGGGCCGGGGAGAUCUGGAUGGAGGCGAAGCAGCAAGCCCUCGCCCAGCAGAUCCACGAGUCCAUUCGGGAGACGGUCUGCGGGCCCUGCGAGCCCUGCCGGACCUGGGCGGGUCGCCGGCCUCCGGCCACAGCCAGCGACCGGGCCUUCUGGCCUCAAAGCGCUGCCGACACAAACCCAGAGACAGGCCGGGGAACGCGAGGCCGCCACAAUCCAGAACCACAAUCCAGAACCCGCAGACGAGCCCCGCCCUGAGGUCCAACCAGAGCGAUGACGGCAAGCAGGACUCCACGACCUCUGACCUCAGUCCCUCCGGAGCCCGGCAGGGCCCGGCAGCCUGCAACCUGCGGAACUGGGGCUGGUCGGAGGGGGAGGAGCCGCUGGGGUACAUGGUCAUGUCCCCCCAGGCCGGCAUCAAACCCUCGGCUCCGCCUCCGGAUGACUACGUCACCAUGGAGAGCCCGCAGAGGCUGGAGCGGACGGCGUGCUCCUCCUCCUCCUCCUCCUCCUCCUCCCUUCACACGACCUUCAGCAGCCUCGCCUGCGACAGCCCGUCGUCUCUGCACGCCGUCGGCGUUCCUCUUUCUCCGGUUCCCGGUGAGGCUCAGAGGAGCUCCGACCGCUCUCCUCCCGCUCGGGUCUGGAGGGCGUCCUGCGGCUCGGCUCUGCCAGACCCCGAUCUCCUCCGGUCUGCGGUCAGAAGAUCCUGGCUGCCGCCGUGUUUUCUGUCGUGUCUGAAAGGCGGAGACAGAAGCUGACGGCUGGAGGCGGCGCCGAUCAACCUGCAGACCUGAUCGUUCCUCACCUGGACUCCUCCUGGGGUCUGAAGAUCAGAAGUUCUGCAGGUUUCAGAAACAUGAAGAGAAUAAAGUUCAUGCUCUACACCAGGGGUCCCCAAACUUUGUCUUGUGAGGGUCCGAUAACUGUGUUCUUCUCUGAUGGGGGCCAGGUCAGUUUGUAGACUGACAGAAAAUUUGUAACAAUGCAGCCUUUCUCAGGUUUCUAGGUUUUCCAGAGAGCCACAUGAAGCCAAAUUUGAAAUAAUUCCUUUCCGUAAUUUUCAUAGAAGAAAAAUAAUAACAAAAAAUAAAAGAUACUAAAACAUUUUUAAAACUAGAUCAAUAGAUGUUGAUAACUGAAAAUGUUUAAUUUGAUAAAUAAAAAACACUGAAGCUGAGAGCUAAAAGCGCAGAAGUUCA
This 2244-nucleotide long non-coding RNA is filed under the name Oryzias javanicus (javanese ricefish). RNAcentral describes it as "lncRNA (ENSOJAG00000007171.1)". Lineage: Eukaryota; Metazoa; Chordata; Actinopteri; Beloniformes; Adrianichthyidae. The record is from RNAcentral.